Mercenaria mercenaria is the source of this 2973-nucleotide long non-coding RNA. RefSeq lists it as uncharacterized. The transcript is spliced from 2 exons. NCBI's taxonomy places the organism in Eukaryota, Metazoa, Mollusca, Bivalvia, Venerida, Veneridae. The record is from RefSeq and is a predicted model, not a curated record.
CCGAGUUUCAACAAAACCUGAAUUAGCCAGUCACGUGUCAAAGUCUUUACAGAAAACUAUAAAAGAAGGAAAGGUACACGAAUUAAACCAUUCUUCAGUAGAAUCUCCACCCGUGCAGAUUGUAAAUAAUUCGGAAGAUAUGGCGAAUAAAGGACAAUCUUGCGACGAUUGUGGACUGCUGUUUGACUCUGUACAUGAUCUUCAAAAUCACGUGAAACAUUGGUGCCAGGAAAGUCAACCAAUGAAGCGACCAUUCCCUGACAAAAGAUAAUUUACCCACUAAAAGGAUGAAAUACGAUUCCGAUGACAGCAACGACUCCUUCGAAUACCUGGUUUAAGAAAAUGAAGUUUACAAUCAUCUGGCAAAGUUUACCAGGCAACAUAAUGAAAAUGAAUGGCGAGAAAAAGUGGAAAAAUACGUAAAGCAAGGACUUUCCGUUACAAAAGCUAAAGCAAAGGCUAAUAAAACCCUGCGAGAAGAAGACAUACGGGUCUUUAUGCUGAAAUAUGGCGUUUUGCUCUCCUAUAUAUUUAAGCUGAGAGAAGGUUAUCUCCAUCACAAAAUUACGGAAACUGUCGAAAAAUACCUCGAGCGAGAAUUGGAUCUAGAACGUGCCAUUCGCCUGGCAUUGAAGAGAUUAAAACAUUAUUUUGAAGAAUUCAUGGAUGAACACCUUAUAAACGAUAACGAAAGGGCAGAUAAUAAUGAUGACGUUGAGAGUGAAAUCAGUGAAAAUGAAACUGACGAAGAAACUGACGACGAAAGGGACUGAAAUUACACAGUUAUCACAGUUGUCUUUGAAGUACUUUGUAAAGGGUUUUAGUCAAUAUCUGUCACAGAAUUACCUAUAAGAUUGAAUAUAAAUACCGUUGAAUAGUUGGUGUAGGUCAGUGAUUGCUUGGUGAUCAAAGUGUACACAUGUGUUUAGGAAAAUAUGGACAUAUCUCAUAACGCGUAAAUUGUAUAUUUGAUAAUCAUAAUACCUUAGACAGCUGAAACGAAUGGAUUGCGUUCAUUGAUUGAUUGAUAAAGAAGCAGACGACAAAGGGGUUAAUAUUUUACCAGAACGGUGUCAUUUUCUCGAAGGAGUCCCAUUGGAAGGAAGUCAACAUGAUGAGUGACAUUUACAUCUAUCUACAAAGUGACGAAAGCGAUGCAUAUUUUGUAAACAACGAUACUAGCCAUUUCAAAAUACAAUUGAAUGAGCCUAUAUACUAAGGUAUAUGGAAAUUGGCUUUAAUGGAGUUUCACGCAUCGGAAAAAGUGAGAUCGAAAUCUAGGACGGACUUUACGUGUAUUCAGAUAUUUGUGGCGAAAGUAUCGUGAAAGGAAAAGCUAGUCCUUGCUGCGACGACUUGAGAAAAACAAGAAAAAUGGGUGGGAUUACAAACUUGACGCUCCUUACUACCUACCUGUGAGAAGAAAAGAAAUUCGGGAAUUUGAAUUACAUAUAAAGCAGGAAGAUGAAACAAACGCGUCGCAUUUAGUGAAACCUGUGCGCCUGACACUUCACUUAAAACGAUAUCCGUUUUUCUGCUAAACUCAUGAAAUUGUAGACGUGACUUUUGAUCUAGAUCAGCUAUUAAUAUUGACAAAAUUGUAAAGACAAAAGGAAAUGAAAUUAACAAACGCUAUUAUGUGUAAUAGAAAAAAUAAAAGUGGAUUUUAAUGUUAAAUAUGAAAACAAAAAUUGGACAGCAUGGAAAGCAUUUAUAUUUAUACCACCGUGUUUUAUAAAUAGACUAAAACUUUGUCUUUAAAUGUUUAAAAAUAAAGUAAUAAAAAUACUACAAGGUGGUUGACUAUUUUUGCUGGUUUAUCAAGUUUUUAAUGUUCCACCUUACCGCACACGGUAUAAUUGAAACCGAUUGAAUAGUCAAUUGUGUAAACCCUCAAAUAUUACAAUACAACCGUUAAAUUACCACUUUACCAUGAUACUAGUCGCUUGUCAAAAUUGAAAUUUACCUAUAAUUAUCUGGUGUUUCAGAUAUAAUGAGAAAUAAAAGUUCCAUUAAACAAAUUUAAAAACAUUUUCUCAAUGAGUUCAAUAAUAUCGUGGUUCUCAUAUCAAUUUAUUAAAUUGACCGGUUUUUAUUUCGAGCUUUUUGCUAUUGUAACUUAAUGUUUAUAUAUACUAAUUGACUUGACUUGUCUCAUCGCUUACAAUGUAAUUGACACAGGUUAGACUAAGCAAAUCAUCUAAAAGAAGUAACAGACAAGAUCAGAAUAUUAAAAAAUGAAUUUAAAUGUAGAAUAGAAAAUAGAAAAAUAAAUAAAAAUUAAAAACUACAAAGGUUGUUUACUUUUUUCGCUAGUUAUAUUUUUAAAAGAGAUCAUGUUCCGCCUUACCGCACACAGUAUAAUUGAGACGGAUUGAAUAGUCAAUUGUUAAAAGACCGUUGCCACUUUGUCAUUUGAUCUCUGAUUAUUGUUAUAUCAAUUAAUGGGCUAAAUUGAAUAAAUUUGAUUGUAAUUGAUAUCUCGUAAUAUAAAGUGUUGGGUGAGGUUUAUAUCUAUAAAAUUCUUUUGUGAUAAGACAAUAGAAAAUAGAUUAAGAAAUUAUUAUAAAUAAAACAAUGAAAUAUUGACAAUGAAAAAUAAAACUAGGUUGACAAUCAAAAGAUACCGUUAUAUAAUAUCCUCUAGGCCAUACCAAAUUGAUUAAUAGUUCUUCGGAAAAUUUUCCAAAAAAUUAGGAGCGGGCGAGCGAAAUUUUUAUUUUAUUUUUUUUUUCUCAAUUUUGAAUUUUUCAGAGGCGGGUAGAUUUUACAUGGAGCGAGCGGGCAUUUUUUAUUUUUUUUUCCCAGCUUGAACCCUUGAGGAGGCGGUUAUGAUUAUAUAUAAAGUUAACAUUUCUUUAGAAAUAACACAGAAAUCAAACAUUUACAGUGUGGGUAACACAGUAUAUAGCUUUUCUAUAUGUUUUAAAGACUACAUGAAUGAUUUUGCAAAUAAAUUCUUGCCAAAACUCA